This 279-nucleotide unclassified non-coding RNA is filed under the name plant metagenome. RNAcentral's name for it is "partial contains small subunit ribosomal RNA, internal transcribed spacer 1, and 5.8S ribosomal RNA". The record is from RNAcentral.
UCUCCGUAGGUGAACCUGCGGAAGGAUCAUUAUCGUACAAAAUGUGAGGCGAAUGCGAGGGCUGUAGCUGACCCAAAGGUCGUGCACGACCGAGUGUGUCGUCUUGCAUAAGCAUCCAUACCACCCUUUGUGCAUCGACGCGAGGGCACCCUUCGGGAUCGUCUCGGAGGGGGACUCGCGCUUACACACAAACCCAACUUUUAAAAGAGGAGAAUGACCACAUUGAUACAAUCAAAAAAACUAUCAACAACGGAUCUCAUAGCUCUGGCCUCGAUGAAG